UACGGGGGGGGCAAGCGUUGUUCGGAAUUACUGGGCGUAAAGGGUCUGUAGGUGGCUUGCUAAGUCAGACGUGAAAUCCCUCAGCUUAACUGGGGAACUGCGUCUGAGACUGGCGAGCUUGAGGGCAGGAGAGGAACGCGGAAUUCCAGGUGUAGCGGUGAAAUGCGUAGAUGUCUGGAGGAACACCGGUGGCGAAGGCGGGUCUCUGGGCCGAUACUGACGCUGAGGAGCGAAAGCGUGGGGAGCGAACAGG
RNAcentral lists this ribosomal RNA (253 nucleotides) under uncultured bacterium. Its description in RNAcentral is "partial 16S ribosomal RNA". It matches the Rfam family "Bacterial small subunit ribosomal RNA", at positions 524 to 776 of the family's 1533-position model. The record is from RNAcentral.